Molecule: ribosomal RNA, 253 nt
Filed under: uncultured bacterium
Lineage: Bacteria
Description: partial 16S ribosomal RNA
Rfam family: Bacterial small subunit ribosomal RNA
Source: RNAcentral
UACAGAGGGUGCAAACGUUGUUCGGAAUUACUGGGCGUAAAGCGCGUGUAGGCGGUCUAGCAAGUCGGAUGUGAAAGCCCUUGGCUCAACUGAGGAAGUGCAUUCGAAACUGCGAGACUUGAGUCCCGGAGAGGAUGGUGGAAUUCUCGGUGUAGAGGUGAAAUUCGUAGAUAUCGAGAGGAACACCGGUGGCGAAGGCGGCCAUCUGGACGGUGACUGACGCUGAGACGCGAAAGCAUGGGGAGCAAACAGG